ACUGGAUACACCCUUAAUAAUAGGUUAGGGACAUUUUCCUUAAGGUUUACAAGUCUUAUGAUUACUUGGGAGAAGAUAUAGUAAAAAUGAGUGACACAUACUAUACAAUGACAUCAACAACCUAAAACAUGGACGACCCAGGAAUUAGUGAAUAGACACAGAUAUAGCUGAACUAAAAACAACUUGCAGGGUUAUUCAUAAAAAGUUGCAGGUAAAAAUAUACAUUUAGGCUAUUUGGAGAAUGUUUU
Pelobates cultripes (western spadefoot toad) is the source of this 248-nucleotide non-coding RNA. NCBI's taxonomy places the organism in Eukaryota, Metazoa, Chordata, Amphibia, Anura, Pelobatidae. The record is from the annotation of a GenBank genome assembly.